ACUGACGUCAGGCAAUAAAGACUAAUUAAAGAGGUAUAAUUAGAAAAGACGGGCGUGGCUACACAAGAUGGCUGACGGUCUUCCUUCAGCAGUGAAGAAUUUUCUACCCAUUUUGGCAUUAUUCUGAAGGGAAAAGGCUUUCUGAAGCUACUGUUUAUUUGCAUCUGGACUGUUUCUAUACCAGACUGGAUUAUGGUAGGGAGGUAGCAUUGUAGAGUGUAAUCUAAAGGAAGUAUUAAAGAUUUACCAGCCACAACAGCCUUUGGAAUGGAAGUAAAGAUGAAGAGUAUCCUACAAAAUAUCAUUGCAAAAAGUUGCAUACUGCACUUAGUCGUGGAGACUAUUUUAAUACUUGUUGUGAAACCUGCUGUACAUUGUAAUUAUUUUUUUUUGAUUGCAUAUGUGUAAUUUAGUGUAUUUUGCAUUUCAGUACUGAUAAUA
RNAcentral lists this long non-coding RNA (441 nucleotides) under Amphimedon queenslandica. RNAcentral describes it as "uncharacterized LOC109591803, transcript variant X2". The record is from RNAcentral. Lineage: Eukaryota; Metazoa; Porifera; Demospongiae; Haplosclerida; Niphatidae.